AGCACGAAGUUUUAUAACUAAUAUUGUUUAUACCCUUCUUACUCUUUAGAAUGCUGCACAAACUGGAUCAUGUGGACGACACCACCUGUCGGAAAGUGAAGAAAUCAACCAGUACCGUACCAACAUCAGGCGCUCAAUUCAGACCGCCUGCCUUACAUAUCCUCGUCCAAUCUCUCCACGUGCUGCGGGCUCCCCUACAGUCACGUGGUCUCAACCACCAGUGGUAGAUAACACAACGAGGCGGAAUGCAUUUGAGUUUACAAGACCAUCAAGGAUUUACC
This is a long non-coding RNA of Pocillopora damicornis (cauliflower coral), 281 nucleotides long. NCBI's taxonomy places the organism in Eukaryota, Metazoa, Cnidaria, Anthozoa, Scleractinia, Pocilloporidae. The record is from RefSeq and is a predicted model, not a curated record.